RNAcentral lists this ribosomal RNA (468 nucleotides) under uncultured bacterium. Its description in RNAcentral is "partial 16S ribosomal RNA". It matches the Rfam family "Bacterial small subunit ribosomal RNA", at positions 28 to 507 of the family's 1533-position model. The record is from RNAcentral.
GACGAACGCUGGCGGCGUGCUUAACACAUGCAAGUCGAACGGAAAGGCCCUGCUUUUGUGGGGUGCUCGAGUGGCGAACGGGUGAGUAACACGUGAGUAACCUGCCCUUGACUUUGGGAUAACUUCAGGAAACUGGGGCUUAUACCGGAUAGGAGCUCCUGCUGCAUGGUGGGGGUUGGAAAGUUUCGGCGGUUGGGGAUGGACUCGCGGCUUAUCAGCUUGUUGGGGGGGUAGUGGCUUACCAAGGCUUUGACGGGUAGCCGGCCUGAGAGGGUGACCGGCCACAUUGGGACUGAGAUACGGCCCAGACUCCUACGGGAGGCAGCAGUGGGGAAUAUUGCACAAUGGGCGGAAGCCUGAUGCAGCACCGCCGCGUGCGGGAUGACGGCCUUCGGGUUGUAAACCGCUUUCGCCUGUGACGAAGCGUGAGUGACGGUAAUGGGUAAAGAAGCACCGGCUAACUACGUG